This 467-nucleotide ribosomal RNA is filed under the name uncultured bacterium. Its description in RNAcentral is "partial 16S ribosomal RNA". It matches the Rfam family "Bacterial small subunit ribosomal RNA", at positions 28 to 506 of the family's 1533-position model. The record is from RNAcentral.
GACGAACGCUGGCGGCGUGCUUAACACAUGCAAGUCGAACGGAAAGGCCCUGCUUUUGUGGGGUGCUCGAGUGGCGAACGGGUGAGUAACACGUGAGUAACCUGCCCUUGACUUUGGGAUAACUUCAGGAAACUGGGGCUAAUACCGGAUAGGAGCUCCUGCUGCAUGGUGGGGGUUGGAAAGUUUCGGCGGUUGGGGAUGGACUCGCGGCUUAUCAGCUUGUUGGUGGGGUAGUGGCUUACCAAGGCUUUGACGGGUAGCCGGCCUGAGAGGGUGACCGGCCACAUUGGGAAUGAGAUACGGCCCAGACUCCUACGGGAGGCAGCAGUGGGGAAUAUUGCACAAUGGGCGGAGGCCUGAUGCAGCAACGCCGCGUGCGGGAUGACGGCCUUCGGGUUGUAAACCGCUUUCGCCUGUGACGAAGCGUGAGUGACGGUAAUGGGUAAAGAAGCACCGGCUAACUACGU